RNAcentral lists this ribosomal RNA (353 nucleotides) under Glomus sp. (unid). Lineage: Eukaryota; Fungi; Glomeromycota; Glomeromycetes; Glomerales; Glomeraceae. The record is from RNAcentral.
CAGUCGUACCUGCGGAUAAUCAGCUUUUUGAGUGUGAUUAUGUGGUUUAUGAGGAGUUUAACCGCCUUCAUGUAUUGCAUAUUUGUGCUCUUGGGUGUACUUGCCCGUGUGGUAGGUUAACAUCAAUUUUGGUGGUCAUAAAAUGACUGGAGGAAUGUAGCUUCGAUCUUGUAUUGAAGUGUUAUAGCCUUCGGUAGAUGUGAUGAUCGGGAUUGAGGAUUGCAACGGAUACCCUUCGGGGCUACCUGUCUGGUCUCUGAUCGUUGCUCUGGUGCCGAAAGCUUGCUUACGGUUAUCAAAGUCGAUGGUCAAUAGGUUAGAACGGGUUAAAUUCGUUAAGGAUGUUGACGUAA